CCUACGGGUGGCAGCAGUGAGGAAUAUUGGUCAAUGGGCGCGCGCCUGAACCAGCCAAGUAGCGUGAAGGAUGACUGCCCUACGGGUUGUAAACUUCUUUUAUAAAGGAAUAAAGUGAGGCACGUGUGCCUUUUUGUAUGUAUUUUAUGAAUAAGGAACGACUAACUCCGUGCCAGCAGCCGCGGUAAUACGGAGGAACCGAGCGUUAUCCGGAUUUAUUGGGUUUAAAGGGAGCGUAGAUGGGUUGUUAAGUCAGUUGUGAAAGUUUGCGGCCCAACCAUAAAAUUGCAAUUGAUACUGGCAGCCUUGAGUACAGUUGAGGUAGGCGGAAUUCGUGGUGUAGCGGUGAAAUGCUUAGAUAUCACGAAGAACUCCGAUUGCGAAGGCAGCUUACUAAACUGCCACUGACAUUGAUGCUCGAAAGUGUGGGUAUCAAACAGGAUUAGAUACCCUUGUAGUC
RNAcentral lists this ribosomal RNA (460 nucleotides) under uncultured bacterium. Its description in RNAcentral is "partial 16S ribosomal RNA". It matches the Rfam family "Bacterial small subunit ribosomal RNA", at positions 338 to 795 of the family's 1533-position model. The record is from RNAcentral.